GUGGGGAAUAUUGGACAAUGGGGGGAACCCUGAUCCAGCCAUGCCGCGUGUGUGAAGAAGGCCUUUUGGUUGUAAAGCACUUUAAGCGAGGAGGAGGCUACCGAGAUUAAUACUCUUGGAUAGUGGACGUUACUCGCAGAAUAAGCACCGGCUAACUCUGUGCCAGCAGCCGCGGUAAUACAGAGGGUGCAAGCGUUAAUCGGAUUUACUGGGCGUAAAGCGCGCGUAGGUGGCCAAUUAAGUCAAAUGUGAAAUCCCCGAGCUUAACUUGGGAAUUACAUUCGAUACUGGUUGGCUAGAGUAUGGGAGAGGAUGGUAGAAUUCCAGGUGUAGCGGUGAAAUGCGUAGAGAUCUGGAGGAAUACCGAUGGCGAAGGCAGCCAUCUGGCCUAAUACUGACACUGAGGUGCGAAAGCAUGGGGAGCAAACAGGAUUAGAUACCCGGGUAGUCC
Molecule: ribosomal RNA, 451 nt
Filed under: uncultured bacterium
Lineage: Bacteria
Description: partial 16S ribosomal RNA
Rfam family: Bacterial small subunit ribosomal RNA
Source: RNAcentral